RNAcentral lists this ribosomal RNA (831 nucleotides) under Lepidocyrtus sp. 1 FZ-2013. RNAcentral describes it as "eukaryotic LSU rRNA". It matches the Rfam family "Eukaryotic large subunit ribosomal RNA", at positions 1884 to 2602 of the family's 3401-position model. Lineage: Eukaryota; Metazoa; Arthropoda; Collembola; Entomobryomorpha; Entomobryidae. The record is from RNAcentral.
UGGUCGAUAGAACAAUGUAGGUAAGGGAAGUCGGCAAAUCGGAUCCGUAACUUCGGGAAAAGGAUUGGCUCUGAGGAUCGGGGCGGUCGGGCCGGAUCAGGAAGUAGUUUGUGCUCACGUGCUGGGCCUGGACAAGGCUUUCGGGCUGAGUUCGGUCCCAUGCCGCGGCCUGCUAUGGAUCGGUUCGGCUAGGAGAGCCCAUGGUUCACGCUGUGGGAGUCCUCUCUUCGGCCUCCAUUGAACGAUCAGCUCAGAACUGGCACGGACCGGGGGAAUCCGACUGUCUAAUUAAAACAAAGCAUUGUGAUGGCUCUUGCGGGUGUUGACACAAUGUGAUUUCUGCCCAGUGCUAUGAAUGUCAAAGUGAAGAAAUUCAUCCAAGCGCUAGUUAACGGCGGGAGUAACUAUGACUCUCUUAAGGUAGCCAAAUGCCUCGUCAUCUAAUUAGUGACGCGCAUGAAUGGAUUAACGAGAUUCCCACUGUCCCUAUCUACUAUCUAGCGAAACCACAGCCAAGGGAACGGGCUUGGGCCCAUCGGCGGGGAAAGAAGACCCUGUUGAGCUUGACUCUAGUCUGGCUUUGUGAGGAGACACGAGAGGUGUAGCAUAAGUGGGAGACUUCGGUCGACUUUGAAAUACCACUACUCCCGUCGUUUCCUCACUUACUCGGUGAGGCGGGAAGCGGCCGCAGUGUCUUCGGACACUGUUGUCGGAAUUGUUGAGCCAAGUCCCUAGUCUCUUAGAGAGCGGGUGCUUUUUGGAGGGCGCAGUGUCGGGGUAAAACUUGGUGUUGCGUUUGAAGAUUAGUGCUGGGACGACUCGAUCCGAGGA